This 800-nucleotide ribosomal RNA is filed under the name uncultured bacterium. Its description in RNAcentral is "bacterial SSU rRNA". It matches the Rfam family "Bacterial small subunit ribosomal RNA", at positions 97 to 913 of the family's 1533-position model. The record is from RNAcentral.
GGCGAACGGCGGAGUAAUACGUGAACAAGCUGCCCUAGAGUCUGGGAUAUACAGCCGAAAGGCUGGGCAAUACCGGAUAUGCCUCCUUCUCGGCAUCGAGUUGGAAGUAAAUGAUUUUUCGCUUUAGGAGGCGUUCACGGCCUAUCAGGUAGUUGGUGGGGUAAUGGCCUACCAAGCCGACGACGGGUAGCGGGUCUGAGAGGAUGGUCCGCUCGAGUGGGACUGAGACACGGCCCACACACCUACGGGUGGCAGCAGUUGGGAAUCUUGCACAAUGGGGGAAACCCUGAUGCAGCGACGCCGCGUGGAGGACGAAGGGUCUAGGCCUGUAAACUCCUUUUUUCGGGAAAGACUUAGGACGGUACCCGAAGAAUAAGGACCGGCUAACUACGUGCCAGCAGCCGCGGUAAGACGUAGGGUCCAAGCGUUGUCCGGAUUUACUGGGCGUAAAGAGCGCGUAGGCGGCUCGUUAAGUGUAGAGUGAAAUCUCUGGGCUCACCCCAGAAACUGCUCUGCAUACUGGCGAGCUGGAGGGAUGGAGAGGCUUGUGGAAUUCCUGGUGUAGCGGUGAAAUGCGUUGAUAUCAGGAGGAACACCCAUGACGAAGGCAGCAAGCUGGCCAUCACCUGACGCUGAGGCGCGAAAGCGUGGGUAGCAAACAGGAUUAGAUACCCUGGUAGUCCACGCCCUAAACGAUGGAUACUAGGCGUAAGGGUAUCGACCCCCCUUGUGCCGCAGCUAACGCACUAAGUAUCCCGCCUGGGGAGUACGGCCGCAAGGUUGAAACUCAAAUGAAUUGA